CUAUAGCUCAGCUGGGAGAGCGCCUGCUUUGCACGCAGGAGGUCUGCGGUUCGAUCCCGCAUAG
Molecule: transfer RNA, 64 nt
Filed under: Salmonella enterica subsp. enterica serovar Give
Lineage: Bacteria; Pseudomonadati; Pseudomonadota; Gammaproteobacteria; Enterobacterales; Enterobacteriaceae
Also listed under: 4 other names
Description: tRNA-Ala
Rfam family: tRNA
About the family: Transfer RNA (tRNA) molecules are approximately 80 nucleotides in length. Their secondary structure includes four short double-helical elements and three loops (D, anti-codon, and T loops).
Source: RNAcentral